Cavia porcellus (domestic guinea pig) is the source of this 1272-nucleotide long non-coding RNA. RefSeq lists it as uncharacterized. The record is from RefSeq and is a predicted model, not a curated record. NCBI's taxonomy places the organism in Eukaryota, Metazoa, Chordata, Mammalia, Rodentia, Caviidae. The transcript is spliced from 2 exons.
GUUGACCGGAAAGAAGGAGGAGCCUCACCGGAUCCCACCUCUGAAGUCAGGCGCCCCAGGCGCCGUUGCCCUCUGCUGGCCUUGCGAGGUCUUUCUAGGCGUGGAGGCGCAGGACCGCGGCUGGCUGGGCCCCAACGCCGCGCCCUACGCUGCACCUGGCGCCGGGCGGGCCCCGCGAGGCUGCCGCAGUUCUCUGAGUGGAGAAGCCGCGGGCCGGGCCGGGCCGCGACUGGUAAUGGCAGACGGCAGACGCGGCCAGCCCUGGUGCUGGCGCUCCGCAGAACGUCAUUUUAGGGUGUAAAGUCAACUGGCCAGCAGAUCCAGCACUCAAGGAAACUGUUCUGCAGCUUGAAAGGCUCUCACCGCAAUCUAACAAGAAUUCCACUGGGCCAGGUGUUGCCAUGUGUGCCUUUGAUCUGAGCACUCAGGAGGCUGAAACAAGAGGAUUGCCACAUGCUGAAGACCAGCAAAGAUUUGCACCUUGCAGUUUUUGGAUUUUUGUCUCUGUAUGUCAUUUAAAUAGCAAGUUUCAAGUGAAAUGAAUUUGCGAUGUUUGGGGAACUCUCCUAAUCUGUAAUUGCUUUUUAGCUUCAGUUAACACUCUAACCUAGAAUCGGUCAUUUUAAAUAACACUAAAGUGACUGUGUACUCUUAAAAGGGGAAUGUCUUAGUCAUAGAAAAGACACCUGGUCUGAUAUCUGAGGAGCAGGUGCAGUUUUGGACAUUCACAAGGUCCCAGCAUUUAAUUGUAAUACUUGUGUGCAUUUCUGCAUUUGUCAGUCAGGAUGCAAAGAGGUCUCCAGAGUGUCAGCAGGUGGUAGUUCAUAGUGGGGUUAUGAGUAACUGUCUUCUGUUCUCUCUGUGUCUGUUUCUCCCCUCACACAUCUGCGCAUGCACAUACAUAAUGGGGGUUGCACCCUGGCAAUGCUGAUGUACAGUAACAUUCAUGCCCAUUUUCACUUCUGUUUAGAGAAAAGCUCUUGCCAACUUACCAAGGCUGGCUUCAGACUUGGAACCCUCCUGAACAACUGGGAUUACAAGCAUGUACUGCCGUGUCCAGUAUAGCUCUUUAUUAAUUAGGAGCUACUGAUCAUGUUUAUGGUGGCACACACAAGAUUUAAAUAUUUUAGAAGCCACAUUUUAAAAAGCAGAAAGACAGGACUGGGUGUGUAUAGCUAAGUGGUAGAACACUUGCCUAGCAUGUACCAGACCCUGUUCGAAUCCCCAGCACUAUAAAAAUAAAUAAAUGAAGAUGUAAUGAAUGUCUUUAAA